This 424-nucleotide ribosomal RNA is filed under the name Verrucomicrobiota bacterium. Its description in RNAcentral is "Verrucomicrobia bacterium partial 16S ribosomal RNA". It matches the Rfam family "Bacterial small subunit ribosomal RNA", at positions 355 to 776 of the family's 1533-position model. The record is from RNAcentral. Lineage: Bacteria; Pseudomonadati; Verrucomicrobiota.
UGAGGAAUAUUGGUCAAUGGACGAGAGUCUGAACCAGCCAAGUAGCGUGCAGGAUGACGGCCCUAUGGGUUGUAAACUGCUUUUGUUUGGGAAUAAUCGACAUUACGUGUAAUGUUUUGCAUGUACCAUUCGAUUAAGGACCGGCUAAUUCCGUGCCAGCAGCCGCGGUAAUACGGAAGGUCCAGGCGUUAUCCGGAUUUAUUGGGUUUAAAGGGAGUGUAGGCGGUUGGUUAAGCGUGUUGUGAAAUGUAGAUGCUCAACAUCUGACUUGCAGCGCGAACUGGCUGACUUGAGUACACACAACGUAGGCGGAAUUCAUGGUGUAGCGGUGAAAUGCUUAGAUAUCAUGAAGAACUCCGAUUGCGAAGGCAGCUUACGGGAGUGUUACUGACGCUUAAGCUCGAAGGUGCGGGUAUCGAACAGG